GGUGCAGUGGCGAAGAUGGUCAACGCGGCGGUCUGCAAAACCGCUAUGCGCCGGUUCGAAUCCGGCCUGCACCU
This 74-nucleotide transfer RNA is filed under the name Candidatus Nomurabacteria bacterium. RNAcentral describes it as "tRNA-Cys". It matches the Rfam family "tRNA". Rfam says of the family: Transfer RNA (tRNA) molecules are approximately 80 nucleotides in length. Their secondary structure includes four short double-helical elements and three loops (D, anti-codon, and T loops). The record is from RNAcentral. Lineage: Bacteria; Candidatus Nomuraibacteriota.